RNAcentral lists this ribosomal RNA (246 nucleotides) under Veillonella atypica. RNAcentral describes it as "partial 16S ribosomal RNA". It matches the Rfam family "Bacterial small subunit ribosomal RNA", at positions 1222 to 1466 of the family's 1533-position model. The record is from RNAcentral. Lineage: Bacteria; Bacillati; Bacillota; Negativicutes; Veillonellales; Veillonellaceae.
GUACUACAAUGGGAGUUAAUAGACGGAAGCGAAACCGCGAGGUGGAGCAAACCCGAGAAACACUCUCUCAGUUCGGAUCGUAGGCUGCAACUCGCCUACGUGAAGUCGGAAUCGCUAGUAAUCGCAGGUCAGCAUACUGCGGUGAAUACGUUCCCGGGCCUUGUACACACCGCCCGUCACACCACGAAAGUCGGAAGUGCCCAAAGCCGGUGGGGUAACCUUCGGGAGCCAGCCGUCUAAGGUAAA